This 73-nucleotide transfer RNA is filed under the name Stegodyphus mimosarum. It matches the Rfam family "tRNA". Rfam says of the family: Transfer RNA (tRNA) molecules are approximately 80 nucleotides in length. Their secondary structure includes four short double-helical elements and three loops (D, anti-codon, and T loops). Lineage: Eukaryota; Metazoa; Arthropoda; Arachnida; Araneae; Eresidae. The record is from Rfam by way of RNAcentral.
GCCUUCAUGGUGUAGUGGUCAGCACGCUCGACGCGUAACCGAGAGGUCCGUGGUUCGAUUCCCGGCGAAGACA